RNAcentral lists this ribosomal RNA (380 nucleotides) under uncultured eukaryote. RNAcentral's name for it is "partial 18S ribosomal RNA". It matches the Rfam family "Eukaryotic small subunit ribosomal RNA", at positions 592 to 976 of the family's 1831-position model. The record is from RNAcentral.
CAAUAGCGUAUAUUAAAGUUGUUGCGGUUAAAAAGCUCGUAGUUGGAUUUCUGCUGAGGACGACCGGUCCGCCCUCUGGGUGAGUAUCUGGCUCGGCCUUGGCAUCUUCUUGGAGAACGUUGCUGCACUUGACUGUGUGGCGCGGUAUCCAGGACAUUUACUUUGAGGAAAUUAGAGUGUUUCAAGCAGGCAUACGCCUUGAAUACAUUAGCAUGGAAUAAUAAGAUAGGACCUCGGUUCUAUUUUGUUGGUUUCUAGAGCUGAGGUAAUGAUUAAUAGGGAUAGUUGGGGGCAUUCGUAUUUAACUGUCAGAGGUGAAAUUCUUGGAUUUGUUAAAGACGGACUACUGCGAAANCANNNGCCAAGGAUGUUUUCAUNGA